GGGAAGCAGUUCUCUCAGCUGGAGGGCGGUGGAUUGGCUGGGCUUAGAGAAGUGGCGAAAGCUACAGGACAGAGGCGCCCUGAGUGGGAGAGAAAGGGAUCCCGGGAUGGUGCGGCCAUCCACUAGGAUAGAGCUGGGGUCCUAAAGGCCAAGAGGCAGACGAGGAAAGAAAUGUCACAGUUUGUGGGAAUACACUGGAGAUAGGGCCUAGCCAGGUGGAGAUAGCUUGGAGCCCGCGAAAACAAGGUAAGCGGUGUCUGGGUCCAGUUAGCGAGACCGGCGUUCACGUCUGCGGGGCUAUCAGGGCCUCGAGGAGACAGCGCUCCGUGCCACUGCUUAGUGCUUGGCCUUUCGUAGGGAUGGACUUGCUUGAGAGUCUUCCAAGAGAUUUUUAAGUGAUCUGGACUGGGAGCUCCAUUGGCGAUGUUUGGAUCUGGUUUUGAUUUUGAAAGCCCAGGAAGAUUCGCAGACUUUCGAGGCCGCACACUCUUCGGGCUGCCCGGAAUCUGGGCAGCGAUGAGGACUGAGAAGCUGUCUCAAGACCUGAGUCUCUUCUCAGGCGAUCCCAGAUAAGAGGAAGGAGAGAGAGGUUUUCUGACUUCCAACUCAUUAGGGACCAGGGCUGUUUCAGCUUACGUCAUCAGAAAGAUUUAUUCCCCAGCACAGCAAGAAGAUGCGCCUGUGACCCUUUUCAAACUUACUCUCCACUCGGCUUAUGGAGACCAUCAGCUGCAGGACAAAUAUUUUAGUUUGGAUAUGCAUGUCACAAUUAAUAAUAAAAAGAUACAGGACCAAAGCAGACUGAAUGGCUCCAAUUAUCAGAAUGUGAAAGCAUGAGUCGGAAUCUACUUUUUGUACGUCUACUCUGAGGAGUCUCUUCUUUAGCCAAGCAGUACUGGGCCAUGAGAACAUAUCCACAAAGUUGAAGUCAGCUCUGUGAGCCGUGGAGUUCUCCCCAGCUCUGUGAAGCCCUGUGAAGCAGAGUUUUCGGAAGUGAUGAUUAUUUUGAGUCAAAAAUGAUCACCGGACACCACGUAACGUAUACACCAAAGGAACUCAAGAAAUAAUAGCCGCUGCGGGAGCGCUCUAGGCUCCGCUGCCCCUCGGCAUUCAGCCUCCUGUGUGAUUAACCCAGAGGUUGGCCUGACAUUGACCCAGUCCCCAGAUGGAAGAGUCACCUUAUCCUUGAAGCUGUCACUCUUUAUUCGGCACUUUUAUCUUUAUCAGUGCUGUUUUCAUCUUGAAAUAUAAACGCAGGAACGCCUCAAUCUGCAUCUCAACCUAGCCCCAGGCUGAAGGGUUCCGCCAGUGUUAUCAAACACUAAGGCUUGUGCCGUGGACAAUUCAGUCAAUGGUGGCUCACAGAUAUGGCGGUAGUCCCACAGAUUACCAUGAGUUGGAAAGUUCCUACAACCCAGUGAUGUCUUAGCCACCAUAGCAUAAUAACUCCCAUGCUUGUCGUUACGUUGGUGCAGACAGACCUAUGCCAGCUUCGGAGAAUCACUGGAUCAGUCCACGUCAACCUGAACCUGAAAGCCAAAUAUCUUUCCCUCCUUUGUUAGGUUCAUGUUACCCUGAACCUGUGAGCUCAGUAGAAAUUUUCUGGUUAUCUGGAGCCGGCAGUUAUUCAUUAUAGCUCCCCACCACUGACUGACUGAGGGUUAAUUAUCAUCAAACAUCUAUCUGCCCACGAUGCUAAUUAUUCAUACUUCAUGAUUGAGGAUUUGGAGUCGGAGACUCACCUGCAAUAUUUGGAAUACCAGUGGAGAUCCAUAUCAACAUGGAAUUUAUACAGUAGCUGGUGCCAGUCACAGCUAAUGAUGGAACUUCAGUUUAAUAAAAAGACCCCCAACUGAGUAUAACCAUCUCGAAGAAAGUAUACUUAUCAAACAGCUUUCAAUCAGUUCAAGAGAGACACCUUAAUUGUGAAGAGGAAGAACUGCACAGCGGUUGUCACCAUGCCAACUUCAGAUCGAUGGCAUUGCCACUGCUCUUGGUACAUAUAGCCUUGUCUAUGUCCUUAACUGCAUCAACAUCCUUCCUGUUGGGAUGAGAUCUUUGUUUCAGCUGCUAGCGUGUGAUGAGGCUUUUAAUUCGUUACACUAUAAUACCCCUUCGUAAAAUUUAAAUGUGUAAUUAUAAAGGUCAAUGUCUUUUCCUUUAAUUAAAACUUCUAUUCCUUGUUAA
Molecule: long non-coding RNA, 2187 nt
Filed under: Mus musculus (house mouse)
Lineage: Eukaryota; Metazoa; Chordata; Mammalia; Rodentia; Muridae
Description: surfactant associated 3
Source: RNAcentral